RNAcentral lists this ribosomal RNA (252 nucleotides) under uncultured bacterium. Its description in RNAcentral is "partial 16S ribosomal RNA". It matches the Rfam family "Bacterial small subunit ribosomal RNA", at positions 524 to 776 of the family's 1533-position model. The record is from RNAcentral.
UACAGAGGGUGCGAGCGUAAUUCGAGUACUGGGCGUAAAGGGCGCGUAGGCGGUUAUAUAAGUGAGAUGUGAAAUCCCUGGGCUUAACCUAGGAACUGCAUCUCAUACUGUAUGACUGGAGUAUUGUAGAGGGUAGUGGAAUUUCCGGUGUAGCGGUGAAAUGCGUAGAGAUCGGAAGGAACACCAGUGGCGAAGGCGGCUACCUGGACAAAUACUGACGCUGAGGCGCGAAGAGCGUGGGGAGCAAACAGG